CCUACGGGCGGCAGCAGUAGGGAAUAUUGCUCAAUGGGGGAAACCCUGAAGCAGCAACGCCGCGUGGGGGAUGAAGGUUUUCGGAUUGUAAACUCCUUUUGUUAGAGAAGAUAAUGACGGUAUCUAACGAAUAAGCACUGGCUAACUCCGUGCCAGCAGCCGCGGUAUUACGGAGGGUGCAAGCGUUAGUCGGAAUUACUGGGCGUAAAGUGCGCGGAGGCGGGAUAGUAAGUCAGAUGUGAAAUCCUAUGGCUUAACCAUAGAACUGCAUUUGAAACUGUUAUUCUAGAGUGUGGGAGAGGUAGGUGGAAUUCUUGGUGUAGGGGUGAAAUCCGUAGAGAUCAAGAGGAAUACUCAUUGCGAAGGCGACCUGCUAGAACAUAACUGACGCUGAUGCGCGAAAGCGUGGGGAGCAAACAGGAUUAGAUACCCUUGUAGUC
RNAcentral lists this ribosomal RNA (440 nucleotides) under uncultured bacterium. RNAcentral describes it as "partial 16S ribosomal RNA". It matches the Rfam family "Bacterial small subunit ribosomal RNA", at positions 338 to 795 of the family's 1533-position model. The record is from RNAcentral.